This is a long non-coding RNA of Coregonus clupeaformis (lake whitefish), 527 nucleotides long. RefSeq lists it as uncharacterized. NCBI's taxonomy places the organism in Eukaryota, Metazoa, Chordata, Actinopteri, Salmoniformes, Salmonidae. The transcript has 2 exons. The record is from RefSeq and is a predicted model, not a curated record.
UACUCCUGUGUCUGUGAGAAUCAGGGCUACCGCUCAAUGCAAGCCAUUUCGAUCUACGGUGUCCACAGAUCGAUUUAUAAACUGGAAUCGGUACCAGAACCAAUACAUUUUUAGCAAAGAUUGCAUCUUUACAGAAAACGUGUUGUGAUUGGAGCUCUGGAUUUGCUAUGCUGCAUUUCUGAAACAAAAAUUGCAGAGAUGUGCUUUGGAAAUAGCAAUGUUUGCCUUUACGUGCCUUGUAUGAUGCAAUAUGUGCAAUAUGCAAUAUGGUGCAAAUUUAUGCUCAGAUAUGUCACCUUCAUGUGAAGAAGCACAAUGAUUUUCAGCGCCUGAACAGGUUGGAACCAACAUGCAGUACCUUCAGCAGGCAGAGAGGCAAGAACCAUUCGUCCACCAACUCAGGAGCAAGCUACACUAUUCACAGCCCUGUGUAAUGUUCAAUGUAAUUGCAUUGCUGGACUUUUUGUGACUUCAUGUAUUUGCAUUGUUUUAAAAAUGUCAAAAUAAAAGGAAAUGUAUGGUUUAAA